RNAcentral lists this long non-coding RNA (508 nucleotides) under Solanum tuberosum (potato). Its description in RNAcentral is "long non-coding RNA (STUB_LNC003284)". Lineage: Eukaryota; Viridiplantae; Streptophyta; Magnoliopsida; Solanales; Solanaceae. The record is from RNAcentral.
GCUUAAGUCAUGUACGGCCCCUUAAAGUUGUCCGCAUAAUUCACUUAAACACCUCAACUAAGGCUAGUACCUAUUAGACACUCUAAUAUUAACGAAUUUGUACCUAUUGAACACAAAAUGAUAAUAAAGUUUUAAAAUGUUGUGUGUGUAAUUCACGCGCACUAUCUUAAAAAAUAUAACAAAUAAAACUGCAGCAUGUGGCACAUGGGCCAAUCUAAUGAAUUUUCAUUUUUUAAAAAUAAAAUAAGAACUCCAACCUUUAAUAUUCCAAAAAAUUAAUUAACAAAAAAGGAGAAAAAAGAAAAACCCCACCCCCACCCCCACACAAACCCACCCACCUUUCUUCUUCUUCCCUGUUACCGGCCAUCCUAAUUCCUCCGACAACAAAUCUCGAUUUUCUCCGGCGACAGCAAAACGAAGAAACAAGAAAAUCUCCCCCACCCCGCUGUCCCAAAUCCACCCACCUAAUCAUUUGUCUUAUCCUCUUCUUCUUCUCCGUCAUGUGUUA